This 782-nucleotide ribosomal RNA is filed under the name uncultured archaeon. RNAcentral describes it as "bacterial SSU rRNA". It matches the Rfam family "Archaeal small subunit ribosomal RNA", at positions 110 to 879 of the family's 1478-position model. The record is from RNAcentral.
AACACUCGUGGCGAAUACCCCGGGAACUGGGGACAAUUUCUGAUAGGUGAAGGCUCCUGGAAUGGACUUUCGCUCAAAGGACGUUCAAGCCAUGCUUUUGGACGUCGCCCAAGGAUUGGGCCGCGGCCGAUCAGGUUGUUGGUGAGGUAAUGGCUCACCAAGCCUUUAACCGGUACGGGCCGUGAGAGCGGUAGCCCGGAGAUGGGUACUGAGAUAAGAACCCAGGCCCUACGGGGCGCAGCAGUCGCGAAACCUUCACAAUAAGCGAAAGCUUGAUGGGGCUAUCCCGAGUGCCAUCUGCUGAGGAUGGCUUUUACCCAGUGUAGAUAGCUGGGGGAAUAAGGAGAGGGCAAGUCUGGUGUCAGCCGCCGCGGUAAUACCAGCUCUCCGAGUGGUGGGGAUGCUUAUUGGGCCUAAAGCAUCCGUAGCCGGCUGGGCAAGUCCCCUGUUAAAUCCAACGAUUUAAUCGCUGGCCUGCGGGGGAUACUAUCCGGCUAGGGGGCGAGAGAGGCCGUCGGUAUUCUUGGGGUAGGGGUGAAAUCCUAUAAUCCCAGGAGGACCACCAGUGGCGAAGGCUGCCGGCUAGAACGCGCCCGACGGUGAGGGAUGAAAGCUGGGGGAGCGAACCGGAUUAGAUACCCGGGUAGUCCCAGCCGUAAACGAUGCAGGCUAGGUGUUAGGGCGGCUACGUGCCGCUCUAGUGCCGCAGGGAAGCUGAUAAGCCUGCCGCCUGGGGAGUACGGCUGCAAGGCUGAAACUUAAAGGAAUUGGCGGGGGAGCAC